RNAcentral lists this long non-coding RNA (525 nucleotides) under Marmota monax (woodchuck). Lineage: Eukaryota; Metazoa; Chordata; Mammalia; Rodentia; Sciuridae. The record is from RNAcentral.
GCCGUGUCUCAGGCCUCUGCUGGUGGUAGCCUGAAGACAGUGUGGGUCCUGAGGCAGGGGACACCAGUAGAGGCAGCGAGGCUGCCAGCCUUGGUGGCUGGCAAGUUCUGAGAGUGGUCCCACUCUGGCCCCCAGGGAUCCCUGUUGCUAGGCAGCAGCUGCUUCUGUUACUUAGAGAUUAAGGUUGUAAAGUCUGCCCCAUCCCAGAACUUUCUGGUGAUUUUGGAGUUGGUGUCUUGGUGCAAAUGGUGUGCUAAAUUGCCCACCUACUGUCUCCUGAACAGCAGCUUCUCUCUAGGCCUGUCAGGUCCACCCAGGAAAAUUGACAGACCACUGACCUUGUCCAGGAUAGAAUCCACUUCUCAUAGAAAUGUCUACCAAAGAAAACAGUGAACAGAAAUGUAUGCGUUUAGCUUAGCAAUAGCAAAUGUGAAACAGACCUAAGUCAGUACUCCUCCCUGGACAACUUCUAACAACCCUUAAGAGCAAAGGAGGAAAGGGUGAAUGAAUGGUUGCAGGUGUUGG